UUGACUUUAGUGGCUUAAUGGGCAAUCAUGACUUUUAGAAAAAAUACAUACGACCAUGACUACAUGAGAAAUAUUUUUCUUUGUGUGGGCUAGUUCUGAAACAAGUCAAACAACCCAAUCCUAAGUUAUAAAAAAAAUUACUUUUUUUUUCUUCCCCUUCCUUCUUCUUCUCAGUGCACCUCGGACCCCCCGGACUUCCCGAAUUUCAAGCUGGACCCUCCCUAGUACAUAAAAAAAUUUCUCGCAACAGGGGGG
Molecule: long non-coding RNA, 255 nt
Filed under: Panax ginseng (ginseng)
Lineage: Eukaryota; Viridiplantae; Streptophyta; Magnoliopsida; Apiales; Araliaceae
Description: long non-coding RNA (PGIN_LNC018232)
Source: RNAcentral